Molecule: non-coding RNA, 762 nt
Filed under: Kikihia muta
Lineage: Eukaryota; Metazoa; Arthropoda; Insecta; Hemiptera; Cicadidae
Source: RNAcentral
UUGAAGUUUAAUUCUAGUUUAGAAAAUUUAAAUUUAAAAUUAUAUUACAUGCACUUUUUUAAUUGUUUUUAAUUUCUAAAUGGAAAUAUUUUUAAUAAAUACGCAGUAUUUAUUAUUAUUAAUUAAUAAAAUUAGAAUUAGUAAUUUUAUUUAAAAGAAUCAAAUUUCGUGCCAGCAGUUGCGGUUAUACGAUUUCUUUAAUUUAAAUAUUUAAGUUUCAGUUAAUAAAACAAUAAUAUAAAAUAUCUAUAAUUUUGGUGAAAUAUAUUUUAUUUUUAAAAAUUAAUUUUAUGUCUGAAAAAUUUUUGUAUAAACUAGGAUUAGAUACCCUAUUAUUAAAAAUGUGAUAAAAAUAACUUGAUUAUUAUUAGAAAUGAUCUUUAAAUUCAAAGAAUUUGGCGGUAAUUUAUCUUAUCGGAGGAACCUGUUUUAUAAUUGAUAAUCCACGAUAGAAAAAACUUUAAUUUAAUUUGUAUAUCUCUGUCAAGAAUGUUUUAUAAGAAAAAUUUUCAUAUUAUAUUAUAUAUUUAGAAUGUCAGGUCAAGGUGCAGUUUAUAUUAAAGAAAAAAUGGGUUACAAUUAAUUAUUUAUUGGAUUAUUUUCUAUAAGUUAGAAAAUAUGAAAUUGGAUUUGAUAAUAAAUUAAUUAAAUUUAAUUAAUUGAAAUUAGCUCUAAUUUAUGUACAUAUCGCCCGUCACUCUCAUGAUAUUAAUGAGAUAAGUCGUAACAAAGUAACUGUACCGGAAGGUGUAGUUAGAAAGA